This 253-nucleotide ribosomal RNA is filed under the name uncultured bacterium. Its description in RNAcentral is "partial 16S ribosomal RNA". It matches the Rfam family "Bacterial small subunit ribosomal RNA", at positions 524 to 776 of the family's 1533-position model. The record is from RNAcentral.
UACGGAGGGAGCUAGCGUUGUUCGGAAUUACUGGGCGUAAAGCGCGCGUAGGCGGCGUAUCAAGUCAGGGGUGAAAUCCCGGAGCUCAACUCCGGAACUGCCCUUGAAACUAGUAUGCUAGAAUCCUGGAGAGGCGAGUGGAAUUCCGAGUGUAGAGGUGAAAUUCGUAGAUAUUCGGAAGAACACCAGUGGCGAAGGCGACUCGCUGGACAGGUAUUGACGCUGAGGUGCGAAAGCGUGGGGAGCAAACAGG